RNAcentral lists this ribosomal RNA (253 nucleotides) under uncultured bacterium. Its description in RNAcentral is "partial 16S ribosomal RNA". It matches the Rfam family "Bacterial small subunit ribosomal RNA", at positions 524 to 776 of the family's 1533-position model. The record is from RNAcentral.
UACGGAGGGGGCUAGCGUUGUUCGGAAUUACUGGGCGUAAAGCGCACGUAGGCGGCUUUGUAAGUUAGAGGUGAAAGCCCAGGGCUCAACCCUGGAAUUGCCUUUAAGACUGCAUCGCUAGAAUUGUGGAGAGGUAAGUGGAAUUCCGAGUGUAGAGGUGAAAUUCGUAGAUAUUCGGAAGAACACCAGUGGCGAAGGCGACUUACUGGACAAAUAUUGACGCUGAGGUGCGAAAGCGUGGGGAGCAAACAGG